CUGAAAUCAAGUAACGCCUCCUUUCUAAUGCUGAGAUGGCAGCAGGCAUGGAGCCCUGCUUGGUAACCUCUCAUGGUGGUCACUUCUACUGAAGAGCAAAGAAAGGUCAAAAUGAAACAUUUUCCAGUCCUUUCCCUCUGGUUGACCUUUUCUGGGGGCCAAAGCUCUGUGCCCCAGGUGGCCUGGUUGUGUGCAGAGAAAUGCAGCCCCCGCAAAGCCCUUGGUUUUCCCACAAGUCAUCAUCACUCCUUCCCAGGUGCCCCCAGCUGUGGCAGGAGAGAGAGAGCCCACGGCGCAGUGGGCACUGUGCCCUCCCAGCCGGGGCUCUCUGGCACAGAGCAGCAGCAGCGCCAGCACCUUUCAACCCGCUCCUGGCCUUGGCUUCACGCGGGAGCCAGAAGCCUCUGGAAAUCAGCACUGCCAGUUGCGUUCCCAGCUUGGAGCAGCUCCUGCGGGUGGGCAAAUCCUGCCCGUUUGACUGCUUCCAAAGAGGAAUAAAGGCAGAGGUCACCUGUUCCAUGUAUUCAGAGGAGUUGAUCCUGAGAGCACAGAAGCAACCGCAGGCUCUCCUCUGGCUCCCUC
Molecule: long non-coding RNA, 582 nt
Organism: Corvus hawaiiensis (hawaiian crow)
Lineage: Eukaryota; Metazoa; Chordata; Aves; Passeriformes; Corvidae
Exons: 3
Source: RefSeq, a predicted model, not a curated record